This is a small nucleolar RNA of Amaranthus tricolor (Joseph's coat), 86 nucleotides long. NCBI's taxonomy places the organism in Eukaryota, Viridiplantae, Streptophyta, Magnoliopsida, Caryophyllales, Amaranthaceae. The record is from RefSeq and is a predicted model, not a curated record.
UCUCUGUGAUGAUUAACUUAAGAUGACGAGUCCGAUAAUCCAUUCUUUUAAAUCGUGACGACAAUCGAGGCAUUUGUCUGAGAGAA